AUUGAACGCUGGCGGCAGGCCUAACACAUGCAAGUCGAACGAGUGGCGGACGGGUGAGUAAUGUCUGGGAAACUGCCCGAUAGAGGGGGAUAACUACUGGAAACGGUAGCUAAUACCGCAUACUAUCGGAUGUGCCCAGAGUGGAUUCGCUUGUAGGUGAGGUAACGGCUCACCUAGGCGACGAUGCCUAGCUGGUCUGAGAGGCUGACCAGCCACACUGGAACUGAGACACGGUCCAGACUCCUACGGGAGGCAGCAGUGGGGAAUAUUCCACAAUGGGCGCAAGCCUGAUGCAGCCAUGCCGCGUGUAUGAAGAAGGCCUUCGGGUUGUAAAGUACUUUCAGCAGGGAGGCGUUACCCGCAGAAGAAGCACCGGCUAACUCCGUGCCAGCAGCCGCGGUAAUUC
Molecule: ribosomal RNA, 406 nt
Filed under: uncultured bacterium
Lineage: Bacteria
Description: partial 16S ribosomal RNA
Rfam family: Bacterial small subunit ribosomal RNA
Source: RNAcentral